Molecule: ribosomal RNA, 693 nt
Filed under: Vibrio sp. KR07-08
Lineage: Bacteria; Pseudomonadati; Pseudomonadota; Gammaproteobacteria; Vibrionales; Vibrionaceae
Description: partial 16S ribosomal RNA
Rfam family: Bacterial small subunit ribosomal RNA
Source: RNAcentral
ACGGGUGAGUAAUGCCUAGGAAAUUGCCUUGAUGUGGGGGAUAACCAUUGGAAACGAUGGCUAAUACCGCAUAAUGCCUACGGGCCAAAGAGGGGGACCUUCGGGCCUCUCGCGUCAAGAUAUGCCUAGGUGGGAUUAGCUAGUUGGUGAGGUAAUGGCUCACCNAGGCGACGAUCCCUANCUGGUCUGAGAGGAUGAUCAGCCACACUGGAACUGANACNCGGUCCAGACUCCUACGGGAGGCAGCAGUGGGGAAUAUUGCACAAUGGGCGAAAGCCUGAUGCAGCCAUGCCGCGUGUAUGAAGAAGGCCUUCGGGUUGUAAAGUACUUUCAGUUGUGAGGAAGGGGGUGNANNUAAUANCUGCAUCUCUUGACGUUAGCAACNNAAGAAGCACCGGCUAACUCCGUGCCAGCAGCCGCGGUAAUACGGAGGGUGCGAGCGUUAAUCGGAAUUACUGGGCGUAAAGCGCAUGCAGGUGGUUCAUUAAGUCAGAUGUGAAAGCCCGGGGCUCAACCUCGGAACUGCAUUUGAAACUGGUGAACUAGAGUACUGUAGAGGGGGGUAGAAUUUCAGGUGUAGCGGUGAAAUGCGUAGAGAUCUGAAAGGAAUACCAGUGNCGAANNNGGCCCCCUGGACAGAUACUGACACUCANAUGCNAANGCGNGGGGAGCAAACAGNANUAGAUACCCUGG